CAGCAGCCGCGGUAAAACGUAGGGCGCAAGCGUUAUCCGGAAUUAUUGGGCGUAAAGAGCUCGUAGGCGGUUUGUCGCGUCUGCCGUGAAAGUCCGGGGCUCAACCCCGGAUCUGCGGUGGGUACGGGCAGACUAGAGUGAUGUAGGGGAGACUGGAAUUCCUGGUGUAGCCGUGGAAUGCGCAGAUAUCAGGAGGAACACCGAUGGCGAAGGCAGGUCUCUGGGCAUUAACUGACGCUGAGGAGCGAAAGCAUGGGGAGCGAACAGGAUUAGAUACCCGUGUAGUCCCUGUCUCUUAUAC
RNAcentral lists this ribosomal RNA (301 nucleotides) under uncultured bacterium. RNAcentral's name for it is "partial 16S ribosomal RNA". It matches the Rfam family "Bacterial small subunit ribosomal RNA", at positions 509 to 807 of the family's 1533-position model. The record is from RNAcentral.